UCUCCAUGAGCAGUGGGGCUGAGGAAAGCGGCAGCACCGCUGCAGAGAGCCAGAUGGACGCCGAGACCCCGGGGCACCGGGGAACCGCGAAAGGUGGAUGGAUCAGAGGAGACAGCUGCCAGCAGCUUAGACAAGGGACAAAGGAUCUCUAGCAGCUCAAGUCCUGAUCCUCCUUCUUCUUGAGAAGCCUGCUGCAUGGUGGAGAAGUAGUCGGCCAUAAAAAUGAGCACCAAUGGAUGCAUACUUUGUGUUGUUAAUUUUUUCUCCUUAGAUGGACUGUUUUUCAUGAGGGCAGGUGUUGGAAUUGGGCAAACUGCUGAAAAUCUCAAGUCUCUAGAACCUAUCCCCUUUUCUCAGAAACUGUCGACAAUUUGACAAAGCCUG
Trichosurus vulpecula (common brushtail) is the source of this 384-nucleotide long non-coding RNA. RefSeq lists it as uncharacterized. The record is from RefSeq and is a predicted model, not a curated record. NCBI's taxonomy places the organism in Eukaryota, Metazoa, Chordata, Mammalia, Diprotodontia, Phalangeridae. The transcript is spliced from 3 exons.